UGUAUCUCCUAUGUUGCUGUGAUUGUAGCUCUAACUCUUAGAGGGCUGUUUUGUUUAUAAAAUGUAUCUUACACUAGCAGAAGAUGUCAGCUUUCAACAAACCAAGAUGUAGAAGGGAAGUGUGAUCCCAAGCUGUUCCCAGAGGCACUGCUGUCUGACAGCUAUAUAAAAACAGCUCCUGAAUAACUAAAAUGGAGGUAUUUUGUAUUUUUUAAAAAUACAUCUGUUUUUAUGCUCAUUAUUAAUACUUUUUUUUUUUUUUUAACUAGCAGUUGUUUUUGGAUUUUGUUUUGUUUGGAGUUUUUUUGAGUGGGUUGGUUUGGGUUUUCUUAAUGCUCCAGAAAAGUUCAUCUUUAAUCAAAUACUAGGAAAGCCAUGUCUCAGGGAGGAUACACAACAAGGUGAGACCUAAAACCAGCCUGUGUUUAAUUAAUUCUAUGCUAAUGAAUAAGAAUAUGAUGAUUUAUAAGUACCUGUAAAGACUUUUUCUGUUUAACUAUAUUCAUUUCUUGAGAAUGCCUUUAGUGACCAUUUAGCAGUGUUCAAGUCCAUGUUGAGCAUCUGGCUCUUCUUUUUGAUUCAAGUGUUUGAUAUAUUAGUUUUUGGAUAGAAUCUUACAUGGAUUAGAUGAUCCAACCUUUUUAAAACUUCCUUUCUACUUAUUUCAGGGAGAAUUCAGGGAAAGUGAUGGUGAUGCUUUGAUAUCUGUUUCUUCUUCCUUUUCUUUUUCUUAUGUUUCUGCAACCAUCUGUUCUUUUUGAUCUAGUUUGAUGCCAGAAGGUUCUUACUCAGGGCAGAACUAGCUUUACAGACAAUACUGUGUCAUCCUUGCAUCAUCAUAGACAGAAUUGGAUUUUUGCACGGGAGUAACAUUUGCGCAAAAGUCUUCAACUGAAAGAAAAAAAGAUAUUGGGACUAAAGCCUGAAAGCUGUCCUUUCCCCUUAACUUCAAGAUCUUUUGCACACUAUCACCAUGAAAAUUUUAAUUUGUCUAGUAAAAUUAUUCUCAUAAAGGAGAAAAAACCAAUCUUGCAGGAAAAAAGUAAGAAGCCUUAGGUAAUGUGUAUUAACUUCUGGAAAGAGUUGUUGCCUUUGCAAGUAAAAUCCUGCUGAGUUUUACGUUGUUAGGAAAGAAUUAAUUCUUCAUCCUUAUUGCAACCAACAGGGAUUCC
Molecule: long non-coding RNA, 1172 nt
Filed under: Lonchura striata (white-rumped munia)
Lineage: Eukaryota; Metazoa; Chordata; Aves; Passeriformes; Estrildidae
Description: domestica (Bengalese finch) lncRNA (ENSLSDG00000009732.1)
Source: RNAcentral